This 210-nucleotide long non-coding RNA is filed under the name Sorghum bicolor (sorghum). RNAcentral's name for it is "long non-coding RNA (SBIC_LNC013441)". Lineage: Eukaryota; Viridiplantae; Streptophyta; Magnoliopsida; Poales; Poaceae. The record is from RNAcentral.
CUCCUCGCCGGAGUUGGUUGGGAAAGUGUUCCGGUGCACCGUUUAACAAAUAAAGAGCAUGGGGACGAAGCGGAGCUUCAAGCGGACUCACCUAGCACAAAGACGAGGACGAGGAAGACCCGAGGGCAACGCGGUGCUUAGAAUGGCGGCCGGUCACGCUCCUGCGAGGUUCGGUCAGUGCGUGAGGUCGAAAGAACGCGGUACAGGGUA